GACGAACGCUGGCGGCGUGCCUAAUACAUGCAAGUAGAACGCUGAAGGAGGAGCUUGCUUCUCUGGAUGAGUUGCGAACGGGUGAGUAACGCGUAGGUAACCUGCCUGGUAGCGGGGGAUAACUAUUGGAAACGAUAGCUAAUACCGCAUAAGAGUAGAUGUUGCAUGACAUUUGCUUAAAAGGUGCAAUUGCAUCACUACCAGAUGGACCUGCGUUGUAUUAGCUAGUUGGUGGGGUAACGGCUCACCAAGGCGACGAUACAUAGCCGACCUGAAAGGGUGAUCGGCCACACUGGGACUGAGACACGGCCCAGACUCCUACGGGAGGCAGCAGUAGGGAAUCUUCGGCAAUGGACGGAAGUCUGACCGAGCAACGCCGCGUGAGUGAAGAAGGUUUUCGGAUCGUAAAGCUCUGUUGUAAGAGAAGAACGAGUGUGAGAGUGGAAAGUUCACACUGUGACGGUAUCUUACCAGAAAGGGACGGCUAACUACGUG
RNAcentral lists this ribosomal RNA (495 nucleotides) under uncultured bacterium. RNAcentral describes it as "partial 16S ribosomal RNA". It matches the Rfam family "Bacterial small subunit ribosomal RNA", at positions 28 to 507 of the family's 1533-position model. The record is from RNAcentral.